CCCUACCCUUCUGUGAACCUACCUAUCGUUGCUUCGGCGGACUCGCCCCAGCCCGGACGCGGACUGGACCAGCGGCCCGCCGGGGACCUCAAACUCUUGUAUUCCAGCAUCUUCUGAAUACGCCGCAAGGCAAAACAAAUGAAUCAAAACUUUCAACAACGGAUCUCUUGGCUCUGGCAUCGAUGAAGAACGCAGCGAAACGCGAUAAGUAAUGUGAAUUGCAGAAUCCAGUGAAUCAUCGAAUCUUUGAACGCACAUUGCGCCCGCCAGCAUUCUGGCGGGCAUGCCUGUUCGAGCGUCAUUUCAACCCUCGACCUCCCCUUGGGGAGGUCGGCGUUGGGGACCGGCAGCACACCGCCGGCCCUGAAAUGGAGUGGCGGCCCGUCCGCGGCGACCUCUGCGCAGUAAUACAGCUCGCACCGGAACCCCGACGCGGCCACGCCGUAAAACACCCAACUUCUGAACGUUGACCUCGAAUCAGGUAGGACUACCCGCUGAACUUAAGCAUAUCAAA
Molecule: ribosomal RNA, 514 nt
Filed under: Beauveria bassiana
Lineage: Eukaryota; Fungi; Ascomycota; Sordariomycetes; Hypocreales; Cordycipitaceae
Description: eukaryotic LSU rRNA
Rfam family: 5.8S ribosomal RNA (bases 148-301)
Source: RNAcentral